RNAcentral lists this long non-coding RNA (673 nucleotides) under Marmota monax (woodchuck). The record is from RNAcentral. Lineage: Eukaryota; Metazoa; Chordata; Mammalia; Rodentia; Sciuridae.
UGAAUUGUUUUUAUUUAAAAAUUUAGACGUAAGCCAAAAAAAAUUGCCAUCUAUGAGGGUCUGAAUUAAUUUAUAGCUCUUCUUUAUUCCCACUGCAUUUCUGCAGUAUCUCCAUCGAAGUCCUUAGCACACCUGUGCUAAUUACCCACUCAGGUCUGCCUCACGUAGGCAACCUGUACUUCUUGAUGGUUGGAGUCACAUCUUGUUAAUUCCACAAUCUCAGAAGCAGCUACUACAAUCCAACUAAUAUGCAGUACAUGCUUGUCAAAGUUUACUGAACUGCCAGGCCAGCCUCAGCAACUUAGUGAGGCCCUAAGAAACUUUGUGAGACCCCAUCUCCAAAUAAAAAAUAAAACAGGAGAGGAAUAUGGCUCAGUGGUUAAUUGCUCCUGGGUCCAAUCUCUACUACCCGUCCCCCCCCCACAAAAAAAAAAAAAAGUUUACUAGACUGAAGCAAUAAUUUCCCUGCUAAUGCUGUGGCUCAUUAAAGGUCACAGCAAGGUCUGCUCUGGAGAGUGGACAAUUAUAUUUGCUAUUCCCAGGCCAGUUGGUAGUUGUUAUUAUAGAAGACACCCAUCAUUGACAUCUUCUAUAAUCUUGUGAGGAGAAAUUUAAGUUGAUUCUGAAAAGUAAACAUACAUAUUCCUUAAUGCAUACAUUUAUUUAUCUAUUU